This 468-nucleotide ribosomal RNA is filed under the name uncultured bacterium. RNAcentral describes it as "partial 16S ribosomal RNA". It matches the Rfam family "Bacterial small subunit ribosomal RNA", at positions 28 to 507 of the family's 1533-position model. The record is from RNAcentral.
GACGAACGCUGGCGGCGUGCUUAACACAUGCAAGUCGAACGGAAAGGCCCUGCUUUUGUGGGGUGCUCGAGUGGCGAACGGGUGAGUAACACGUGAGUAACCUGCCCUUGACUUUGGGAUAACUUCAGGAAACUGGGGCUAAUACCGGAUAGGAGCUCCUGCUGCAUGGUGGGGGUUGGAAAGUUUCGGCGGUUGGGGAUGGACUCGCGGCUUAUCAGCUUGUUGGUUGGGUAGUGGCUUACCAAGGCUUUGACGGGUAGCCGGCCUGAGAGGGUGACCGGCCACAGUGGGACUGAGAUACGGCCCAGACUCCUACGGGAGGCAGCAGUGGAGAAUAUUGCACAAUGGGCGGAAGCCUGAUGCAGCAACGCCGCGUGCGGGAUGACGGCCUUCGGGUUGUAAACCGCGUUCGCCUGUGACGAAGCGUGAGUGACGGUAAUGAAUAAAGAAGCACCGGCUAACUACGUG